ACGGGUGAGUAACGCGUGGGAACAUACCCAACUCUACGGAAUAACUCAGGGAAACUUGUGCUAAUACCGUAUACGCCCUUCGGGGGAAAGAUUUAUCGGAAUUAGAUGAGCCCGCGUAAGAUUAGCUAGUUGGUGGGGUAAUGGCCUACCAAGGCGACGAUCUUUAGCUGGUCUGAGAGGAUGAUCAGCCACACUGGGACUGAGACACGGCCCAGACUCCUACGGGAGGCAGCAGUGGGGAAUAUUGGACAAUGGGCGCAAGCCUGAUCCAGCCAUGCCGCGUGAGUGAUGAAGGCCUUAGGGUUGUAAAGCUCUUUCAGUGGGGAAGAUAAUGACGGUACCCACAGAAGAAGCCCCGGCUAACUUCGUGCCAGCAGCCGCGGUAAUACGAAGGGGGCUAGCGUUGUUCGGAUUUACUGGGCGUAAAGCGCACGUAGGCGGAUUGGUCAGUUAGAGGUGAAAUCCCGAAGCUCAACUUCGGAACUGCCUUUAAUACUGCCAAUCUAGAGUCCGGAAGAGGUGAGUGGAACUCCUAGUGUAGAGGUGGAAUUCGUAGA
This 557-nucleotide ribosomal RNA is filed under the name uncultured Devosia sp. RNAcentral's name for it is "bacterial SSU rRNA". It matches the Rfam family "Bacterial small subunit ribosomal RNA", at positions 102 to 694 of the family's 1533-position model. The record is from RNAcentral. Lineage: Bacteria; Pseudomonadati; Pseudomonadota; Alphaproteobacteria; Hyphomicrobiales; Devosiaceae.